RNAcentral lists this ribosomal RNA (425 nucleotides) under Acidobacteria bacterium UCL-105. RNAcentral describes it as "bacterial SSU rRNA". It matches the Rfam family "Bacterial small subunit ribosomal RNA", at positions 32 to 489 of the family's 1533-position model. Lineage: Bacteria; Pseudomonadati; Acidobacteriota. The record is from RNAcentral.
AACGCUGGCGGCGUGCCUAACACAUGCAAGUCGCACGAGAAAGGGUCUUCGGAUCUGAGUAAAGUGGCGCACGGGUGAGUAACACGUGACUAAUCUACCCUCGAGUGGGGAAUAACCUAGGGAAACCUGGGCUAAUACCGCAUAACACUUACGAGUCAAAGCAGCAAUGCGCUUGGGGAGGAGGUCGCGGCAGAUUAGCUAGUUGGCGGGGUAAUGGCCCACCAAGGCAAUGAUCUGUAUCCGGCCUGAGAGGGCGCACGGACACACUGGAACUGAAACACGGUCCAGACUCCUACGGGAGGCAGCAGUGGGGAAUUUUGCGCAAUGGGGGAAACCCUGACGCAGCAACGCCGCGUGGAGGAUGAAGUCUCUUGGGACGUAAACUCCUUUCGACAGGGAAGAUAAUGACGGUACCUGUAGAAGAA